GAUGAACGCUGGCGGCGUGCCUAAUACAUGCAAGUCGAGCGAAUGGAUUAAGAGCUUGCUCUUAUGAAGUUAGCGGCGGACGGGUGAGUAACACGUGGGUAACCUGCCCAUAAGACUGGGAUAACUCCGGGAAACCGGGGCUAAUACCGGAUAACAUUUUGAACCGCAUGGUUCGAAAUUGAAAGGCGGCUUCGGCUGUCACUUAUGGAUGGACCCGCGUCGCAUUAGCUAGUUGGUGAGGUAACGGCUCACCAAGGCAACGAUGCGUAGCCGAGCUGAGAGGGUGAUCGGCCACACUGGGACUGAGACACGGCCCAGACUCCUACGGGAGGCAGCAGUAGGGAACCUUCCACAAUGGACGAAAGUCUGACGGAGCAACGCCGCGUGAGUGAUGAAGGCUUUCGGGUCGUAAAACUCUGUUGUUAGGGAAGAACAAGUGCUAGUUGAAUAAGCUGACACCUUGACGGUACCUAACCAGAAAGCCACGGCUAACUACGUGCCAGCAGCCGCAGUAA
This 515-nucleotide ribosomal RNA is filed under the name uncultured bacterium. RNAcentral's name for it is "partial 16S ribosomal RNA". It matches the Rfam family "Bacterial small subunit ribosomal RNA", at positions 28 to 523 of the family's 1533-position model. The record is from RNAcentral.